UCUACUUUUGCAGGGCUACAGGACCGUGGGAAAGGUCCUCCACGUAAGAUGCUUUAUUCUUUGUGUCUGUUGUUCUUAUGUAAUUGAUCUCACUCAAUGUCCAGGGUGGAAUGCUUCAAAGCCUUUGCUGCACCAUUCCAUCAAGUGAAAAUGUUCUACAUGCCCCCUGCAUCAGUUAAAUUCAAAUCUUUGAAAACUUUGGGAUCUCUCCUAGAAUUAAAAAAUAAAGUUAUGUGGGAUUGAACAAUGCCAGAUGAAUGCAGUUUUCUAUCUUGAGAAUAAGUCCCCAUGUAGCCGUAUGUACUGUACUGAUGGAAUAAGGGAAGGGGCAUGCAUAACUACAUACAUAACUUUUGUUAAGGUUACAGAAAUAUUAAUGGACUGGAACCUGAGGGAAUGUUACAGGGAUGUAUGUUACAUGUUUGCUGGGUAUGUGCCGGAGCCUUCCUUCAUGGACAUGUCAGAAACAAUUCAUCGUUCAGGUUUAACUUUGUUAUGCUCAUUGUUAUUGUUAAUGUAAACAGAGAGACACCACUCACAGAUUAACUGCAUUCAUGUGUACUCUGAAUGAUAGCAAGGUUUGUGGACAAGGUUUCAAACAAAAAACAAAAGGACAAAAAAAUGAAAUGUUUGGCUUCACAUUUAAAUAUUUGGGCUACUUUUAACCUGGAGAGUUUGAGAACAUUUCACAUUUUAAAAUGCUAAUUUUCACAUAUGCAAAAUGAUACAUUUCAAAAUCACUGUUCUUUGUCCACAUAAUUUUUUUCCAUGAGGGAGCCAUUGUUUUCAAAUGUUACAAUCCAAGUUAUUUGUUGUUUAGAUGGCAGAGUUAAUGCAUAAAUAACUUUUAUUUAAAUGUUCAAGUCAAAAGGUUGGAAAAUUACAAAAAAUAUCUCCUUGAUUAGUAGCCUAACAGUAGGGUUAUUAUGGCAGCAGCUUGUUUUCAUUCUUAUUUCAGUGUUGAGGCGAUAGCCUAUUUCCCUGACUUUAACCAAGCACUUCGUAUUUCAGAGGUGAACACUGAAUGGCUGUUCCGUAUCCAACAGCAGCAGAGUCCACUGAAACGUGUGAAAAUGUGAAUUUAAUUCAUAAAUGCGGCCUACCGCUUCUGGCCCGCAGCCAAGAUUCCGUCUCUAACUCUGUUUUCUCUGGCUCCCAUCCAGCUCCCCCCACCCUCCCGCCGUUGUUAUCCACCCACGGGAGAGGUGAUUUCUUUCUUUUUGUUCUUCUUUUUUAAACCUAUAUUCAUUCAGUGGUUCCUCGAUUUGGAGUGGGCUGUAGAUGCGGGAUUAUGACCACGCUUUUCAGACAAACCGUGCCGAGCUGUCACGCAUCGCUGCUGUAUGGUCCUUCCCGGUGCCGCCGUGUGUUGUAGCCGAGUUUGAGUUGGAGCUGAUCGGCGUCAGACUCCGCUGUCCCCUGUGUUCUCUUCUUAAGCUCAAUGAGUCAAACUUCCAGCUGCUCCCUGGCUUGUCUUAUCAGCUUCAAAGCGGCCAGUGCUGCUGCUUGUGGAAGACUUUCAAGUGGACAACAGACCUGUUAAAGUGCCAUUGAAACUAUCCUCAUCGACUCCCUCUGUUCAUUUUUUUUCUUAAGUCCUUUCUGUUUACCGGUAGAACGGAAGCACUUUAGCACCGGGAACCAUGAGCGGACGCGGGGACGAGGCCGAGGAAUGCUCUGGCUCCCAGGAGCCCAUGGGGGCCGCGGAACCCCAGAAAAGAAGGCCAGGGAGACCGAGGAAGCCCCUAAAAGAGCCCAGUGGAGAGCCUGUUCCCAAGCGACCUAGGGGUCGCCCCAAAGGAAGUAAGAACAAGGGGCCCUCAAAGGCAGCUCAGAAGAAAGCCGGGGCAACCGGGGUGAAAAGACCCAGGGGACGACCCAGGAAAUGGGUGAGUCUGUGGUUCUCUUAAGGUCAAAGCUUGUGUCUGCUGCUAGCAUACUGGAUACCGGAUACUGGAAGACACAUUGUACACAACACAAGAUGGGCUGUGAAUAACGAGUUGUGCCAGUUGAUGAAAUCUAUUUGUGAUAGGAGACACGUGAGCAAGAGAUUUUAUUACUACACAUCUAGUAUAUUGGUAUAUACAUAGAUAUAUUACCUGAUUUUAAUGCACAUUGAGAUGGACUGUUUCACUUCCUGAACUUUUUGUGGUAAUUUCUCAUCAGUAACUUUCAUUAUGUGGCCUGAAUACUUUUAGAGGUUCCUCUCUGGUUGUUGCUAAUGUGUGUGUACAGGGAGAUCUCCAAAAUAUUUCUUCUAUCAAAGAAAAUAUUUACUGCAUCCAUGCUGACUAAAGCCGAUAUUUUCCGCCACUACCCUCGGGCUGGGCCGGGCCCUUGAUCAAGCAUUUGUGUUUUUUUUUGGUUUUUUUUAUCAUUACGUUAUUAGCCUAAUCGGGUGGGGAGAAAGCUAUGGCAUAAUCAGAAAUAUUAUAUAUAUUUUUUAGCAAAGUAGGCCUAAGUAACAAACGUGCACUCCUGGAUGGAGUGGUGUGUUCCAAGAAUUUUAUUUCUAGAGCGCCAAUUCAUAAUAGAAGUUAUUUAGACCCAAGAGAGACAGAGACAAAUAGUACUACACUAGGGUGGCUGUGGCUGUGGCUCAGAGGCAGAGCAGGUCGUUCCUCAAUCGGAAGGUUGUGGAUUCGAUCCCCGGCUACUGGUGCCACAUGUCGAAGUAUCCUUGAGCAAGAUACUCAACCCUGAAUUGCUCCCGAUGCCGUGCAUCGGUGUGUGAGUGUGUAUGAAUGUUAGUUUCUGUUCGAUGGACUUUGCCAUCACUGAGUGAAUGUGUGUGAAAGGGUGAAUGUGGCACGUAGUGUAAAAGCGCUUUGAGUGGUCGGAAGACUAGAAAGGCGCUAUACAAGUACAGGUCCAUUUACCAUUUAAUAGUAGUGACUGAUGAUGAUGAACAUGAAGAAGAUGAUGACAACAACGACAACAACGGACAAUGAGCAGUGAUUAUAGUGAUAAUAGUAUGUGUAGUAAUAGUAAUAAUAAUAAUAAUUAAAGCUGCAAGCAGCAUUGGGCGGGACCUCACACUGCGGCAGCGUCACGUGCCGUCAUAACACGUGUGGACCACAACAUGAAAUUUUCACGUCACCCCACUCCCAAGCCCUCAUUGCCAGAAGCUGAGGGAGACCACUCUACGCACAGUAAAUAUUUGAUUAACUUAUGAUCACCAAUGUGUCUAGAUUGCAGUGAUUGAAUUUGAAGUCAAUCCGAUAAAAUCUGUAGGAGGAUUUAGUUCAAAUUGAAGCCCUGAAAUGCCAGAAAUGGCAUCACAAUUUGACAUUCGUUUCAAAAUGGCCAACUUUGACAGCACGCCACCGACACUCCCUUCAACGUACAGUCGAAAAUACCACGGCCUUCAUUCAGCACAUUUUUUUGACUGUACUGACCAAUUUUGAAGCAGAUCCGAUAAAUUCCCUAGGAGGAGUUCGUUCAAAUACAUACACAUGCUUUGUUGAAAUACUGUAGGGGGCGCUACAAGCACGAUUUUUGGUAUGUGAGCUACAGGCAUCAGUCUACAUGCAUCCUGUGAAUUUCAUAUUCAUAACUAUUACGGUCUCCGCAGAGUGAUUUACCCUGCCACCAGAGCGCCACCCAGUGGCGUGGCUUAUUUUUUCCUUUUUAAGUGAGCCUCAGGGAGGUAUGGGCAAUCAUCGUACCAAGUUUCAUUUUAAUCACCCUUGCCAAUGUGGAGAUACAAACUUCUGCAUUUUAAAGAGCCACAAGGUGUUGUGGCGAUGGCCUGAAAUUGUGCACGAUGCCUAAUGAACACAUAAGGAACUAUUGACCCAAGGUUGGUGUCAAUCGGACAUACCAAUGUGGAGAAAUGCCCCACUUCCUUUUUUGACGAAAAAUCAACAGGAAGUGCUAAUUUUAUAACAUGCUUAUUUUUUGAAAUAUCAAAAGUUUUCACCAGGCCUGACAACUUUGCCAAAUAAAAUUCACGCGGAGUAUAUGUUCAGGGGGUCAAAAAUGCCAUCAACGUUCUUAAUAAUAAUAAUAAUAAUAAUAAUAAUAAUAAUAAUAAUAAUAAUAAACGGAGCAAAAACAAUAGAGACCUCACAGUGUUUGACACUGGCUGUGUCCCUAAUAAUAUCAGUGAUAUUAGCAAUGGGAGUCAAGCAGGACCAUGGUAAAUGGACCUGUACUUGUAUAGCGCCUUUCUAGUCUUCUGACCACUCAAAGCGCUUUUACACUACGUGCCACAUUCACCCUUUCACACAGUGAUGGCAAAGUCCAUUGAACAGAAACUAACGUUCAUACACAUUCACACAACAAUUUUGGGUUCCGUAUCUUGCUCAAGGAUACUUCGACAUGUGGCACCAGGGGCUGGGGAUCGAACCCACAACCUUCCGUUUUGGAAUGACCCACUCUGCCUCUGAGCCACAGCCGCCCUGCUCAGUGGCAGGAGGCACCACCAGGAUCGAUGAGAACCUGCGAGACGAGAAAGCACAAGAACCCUGGGGAAGAAGUGAAGUUAGUAACAUGCAUUAAUGGGACAUGAAUGUGUGCAGAAAGAGAGAGAGAGGAAGAGAGGAGCUCAGUGCAUCAUGGGAAAUCCCCUAGUAGUCUAAGCCUAGAGCAGCAUAACUAAGGGAUGGUUCAGAGGGGUAUUGCACAAAAGUAGGAUAAAGAAAUCCAGGAUAAUUGAGCAAGCGCGGCUUGACUUAGCCUGCUCAGCGCAUCCUGGCUUAAUUGGUUGCACGUUUGCCGAGCUAGGAUGAAAAGGUGCGGCUAUGUUAAGCCAGGUGUAGAUAGUCGGGAUAAGUGCGUGUUCACGGCAUACUGAAAUAGACCUCGCGAUCAGUCACAGAAUCACCGAUGGGAACAUGGAUAAAACACCCGCUUCGUAUUUCACGGCCGCUGAACAACAGCUCCUGAUGGAGUUCUAUGAAGAGGUGAAAGAUAGAAGAAAAAAAGGCAAUACCAAUGCCAUAAUUAAAGAAAGAGAGAAAGCCUGGCAGACAACAGCAGACCGGCUUAAUGCUUAAGUAGUCCAAAACUGUACAAUGAAUAAACAGUGCUCCACUGGAACUGUCAUAAUUAGGCUCCAAUUAAAGGACUAAAGGAGUUACUUUAAGUCCACUAAUCAACUGUUGUACACUUUGCUUUAAAUGUGGCAAGUAGAGGUGCAUGUUACUUAAAUGUAGAGUAUGAUUAAGUGCAAACAAUUAUCCACAAUGUGUGUCAUUUAAUCUAUUUUUAUCUAUUUUAUCUUUCUAUCCUUCAUAAAGAACAAACUUGUCUGGCCAUAAAAGGACCUGGCAGCAAGUUAAAGUUAAAUACAAGAACAUUUUGCAGGCUGGUAAGUGACUUUAAAGUAGAUAACAGUGAACAAAUGAGGUGAAUAGAUUAGGUGUCUGCUGACAUGUUGAAUGUCUGUAUGAUUGUAGCGGUUAAAAAAAAAGCCCAUAGAACUGGCACAGGGGGCGGCCCACCAAGCCAGGAUAUGUGCUGCAAAUGGUUCCUUUAUUGAGGUUCUCUGCAUCCCCAACAGAAUAAAGGAAGCUCCCACUUGCAAAACAUCUCAAUGUAACACAGACCAUCUGUGGUACAGUGAGAGCAUGGCUUCCUGCCGUCUGGUGCUGUAUUUUUGGACCCAGCAGCCUACAUAAAUAUCUUAGUCCAUCACCUGAGAAUCUGUAUCUCUCAAUGAGAUAGUCAUCUCCAACAGCCAAUGGGUCUGACCUGUCCCAGAAGACUCUUUCAUGACUAAAUGCUCGUCUGAGGAUUAGGGCUUCCUCAUCCAGUACAUCCUCCAAGAAAGGGCAAGCCAUUAUGAAGAGGGAACAGGUGUGAAUAAUAUAUAUAUAUAUAUAUAUAUAUAUAUAUAUAUAUAUAUAUAUUAUGACAUGCCGUUUAGGAAAUAAAUCUUUGUAUAUAUGGAAUGAAGCUUGGCUAUAAAAAUGAUAAAAAUGUGAGAAUACUGAAUGAAAUUCAAAACCUAGUUGUAUCCUUUUCAUCAAAGUGAUAGCCUUCUGAAUUAGCUGGUUUUACAAAAUGGCAUCAGUUGAAAUAUUACAAUACUUUCUUGAACUGGAAAACUUUUUUGCUUUUUCUGUCAGGAUUUUGACUGAGGCCUGUUGUGGUCGGCCUGCCACCACUAAAAAGGGAGUGAACUUCUUCGUCAGGAGAACGGUAUUGGGCACGGGUACUAUCGGGAGGAUUUUGGCCCCUACAAGCACUUGCCAAUGAGUUAAUAAUGUCCUCAUUGCUCAGUAUUGCUGCCACAAAGUUCCUGACUGACUCAUUCUCACUUCUACAAGAUGGCAGCAGUGCCUUGAUGACCAGUCAAGUUUCAUUCUAUAUAUUCAAAGAUUAAUUUUAUAUAUUCAAAGAUUAAUUUCCUAAACAGCAUGCCAUAAUAUAUGUACUAUAUUGCCCUUGUCACAGAUUUAAUUGAAAACACCUUUGCAACUUCAUCAGCUGUGUUUUGUAAUCUCAAUUACUGCAAUAAAACACAUAUUUAUGCAAUUUGACAAGCAGUCUUCAUUAGCAUAGCAAUAUAACACUUGUCCUGAGUAAUAAUACUACCACUUGAAUCAAUAUAAAAAGACUGUUGCAAUUACAAACAGCCAACAGAUUUAAAUGAAAUAAGAAAUUACAAUAUAUAUGUAAUAUUUUAAUGCAGGAUAAUUAAAAUGAUGCAACAUACUUAGAAAGACCAUGGACAUGCUGUAAAACACAUUAAUUCCUCACAGGAUUGAUGAUGGAAAUACAGGUGAAUCACUAGGAUUAAUCUUAGCCUGGCUGUUAGCCUGGUCUGGAGCAGGCUAGCUGCAGAGAAUAAAUCACCACAGUAACUUGGCCGGGAUAAGUUUAACCUGCUUUCAUGCAACCGACUUGAGGCUAAAUUCAGCCAGGAUAACCAACAUAUCCCGGCUUAAUCCCUUAUCCUGGUUUUGUGCAAUACCCUUCAGGACUCUCCUGAGCCAGCCCUAUCUAUAAGCUUUAUCAAAGAGGAACGUUUAAGCCUACUUAAAUGUGGAGAGGGUGUCUCUCUCCCGAAUCACAACUGGAAACUGGUUCCACAAGAAAGGAGCUUGGUAGCUAAAGGCUCUGGCUCCUGUUCUACUUUUUGAAACUACAGCAACUACAAAUAGCCCUGCAUUCAGAGAGCGCAGUGUUCUACAGGGGUAAUAGGAUACUUUGAGCUCUUUAAGAUAUGAAGGGGCCUGACCAUGAAGAGCUUUGUAGGUAGGGAGGAGAAUUUUAAAUUCUAUUCUAAAUUUUACUGGGAGCCAGUGCAGAGAAGCUAAUACAGGAGAGAUAUGAUCUCUUUUCCUAGUUCCUGUCAGUACUCGUGCUGCAGCAUUUUGAAUUAAUUGGAGUGUCUUAAUGGACUUAUUGGGGCAACCUGAUAGUAAGGAAUGGCAUUAAUCCAGCCUAGAAGUAACAAAUGCAUGGAUUAGUUUUUCUGAAAAAAGGCAGUCGUGGAGGUCUGCUUUAUGUUGAACUGUUAGCAUAUUUAGUGUAUUCUUCACUGUCUUCAUUGGUACAAGCUCUUGCUGGGACUUUAAAGUCAACAGCAAGUACUCGAGCAAGCAAAUUAAGUGCUAAAUUCUGCAUAUGCACUAAAUUCUUAGCCAUCAUAGCCUCCUUCAACAAUAGGCCACACACAGCUCCCAGGAUGACACUGCAGCCUCUGUCAAGAAUUUGAAGUUACUCAGUAACAAACUCAGUAUAGCCUUACCAAACGUAAAGGAAAAUUCUAUAUGAAUCUAUUUAAAUCUCUAUUAUAUUAUAAGGAGAUGGAAAUUAUAUUUAUACCUGGUGAAUUUCUUAAAUGGUGCCAUUGUGGGUCCACUGGUCAUGCUUACUUUGCUCUCAUCGCCUCAAAGAUUUGGGGAACACAGCUUUCCAUUGAUGAUUAUUGACGUUCUUUUCGGGAGAGUUGCAACUCAUCUGUGACUGAUGACUGUCAAAAUGUAUUGCACGUUGAUACUUCUUUUUGAAUGUCAUUCUUCAAUAUUUGUGCUGUGCAAAGUACUCCACAGUCCAAAAUGAGAGUUCCAACAUUUAGAAGCUACAACCAAGUAGCUUUUAGUUUCUGGGUUGAGGAACAACCAGCAGACCCUGAUCAGAGGAGCCUAGAGACCAGCUGGUAAUAGCUGUUUAAUUUGGCUCCGGUGGUAGAGCGUGUCAUCUAGUAAUCAGAGGUUCACUGAUUUGAUUCCCAGACCCCCCAGUCUAAACUAAUUGUCAUUGGACAAGAUAUUGAACCCCAAAUUGCUGCCAAUGUCUCUGCCAAACAACAUAAAUGUAUUUCGAUUUUCAACACUGAGUAUAACCUUAGACUUGAAAGAAUGCAGUCCUCUCAAGUUUGUGGCUUUAACAUUGCAUAUCAUGAAGACCUUUGAGAGACUGGUUCUGCAGCACGUCAGGCCCCUGGUACGUAACUGCCUAGACCCUCUGCAGUUUGCGUGUUGACAUCAGCGUGGAUAAUGCCAUCAUCAACCUUAUUCAACGAGGUUACACUCACCUGAAGAGGAUCAUGUUCUUCGACCUCUCCAGCGCUUUUGACACCGUCUAGCCUUCCCGGCUAGCAGAGAAGUUCUCUGUGAUGCAGGUGGAUCAGGACCUUGUGGCCUGGAUCACAGACUACCUCACUGACAGACCACAAUAUGUCCGACUGUACAGCUGCUUGUCAGAUGUGGUGACAAGCAGCAUGGCACACCCCGAGGAACUGUACUGUCACCAUUUCUGUUCACCCUCUACACCUCUGACUUUUGCUUCAACUGGGGAGUGUGCCAUCUACAGAAGUUCUCAGAUGACUCCUCCAUUGUCAGCUGUAUCACAGACGAUGGGGAGGAGGCUCGGGUCUUUCAAUGUGUGCACUAGGCUACUACGGAUGUUCUACCAGUCUGUAGUGGCCAAUGACCCUUUCUUUGUCUCCUCUUUGUGCUGGGGAGGUGGCAUCAGGACUUGUAGUGCCAAUAAACUCAAAAAGCUGGUGAAGAAGGCCCGCUUGGUGGUGGGGAUGGAUCUGGACAAUUUGGAGGCAGUGACUGAGAAGAGGAUAAGAGGGAAGCUGAACGCCAUCAUGAACAACCCCUCUCAUCCUCUCUACACUGAGCUGAGGCAACUCAGGAGCACAUAGUGUCUCCCACCGCCGCUGAUUUAGACUAUUUAACUUUAACCUGCUAUGUGCAACUCUUUUUGCACAAAUUUAUCUUGUAACAAUAUGUAUUAUAUCUUUAAUAUAUUUUUAUUUUAGUAUUCUUUUAUUGUAUUUUUAUUCUUCUCUAAUUUCUACUAUUUGUACUCAAUUCCUCUGUGUCAAACUUGAAUUUCUCCCACAGGGGAUAAUAAGUAACAUCUCAUCUUUAUUUGAAUGGAGUCUAUUGACGAAGGUGCUGCAUUGGCCAAUCAAAUGUUUGCAAACACUGGGAAACUGUGGCUCAGGAUGUAGCAGGUUGUCCACUAAUCAGAAGGACAAGAUACUCAACCCCAAAUUUCUCCUGAUGCUGUGUCAUCAGCGUGUGAAUGGUUAGUUCCUUUCAGAUGACCAGUUGCACCGACCGUCAGUGUAUGAAUGCAUAUGAAUGGGUGAGUGUGACAUGUAGUGUAAAGCGCUUUGAGUCGUUGGAAAACUAGAAAGGCGCCUUAAGUGCAGUCCUUUUACCAUUACCAUUCAGUUAAUUACUUUUAACUUGAUGUAAUAUGAAGGCAGUAUGUCUACUGCAUAGUAGUUGCUGCCAUAAUAGCUUUUCAGAGACUUUCCAGUUAACUUUCCUGCUGUGAGUAUGAAUAUGCAUUGAUCUGUUACUCUAACUUGACUUCCUAGACUGUAUUUCAUUGCACUUUAAAUGACCAGUGUGAAGGAUUUAGUGGCCUCUAGCAGUGAGGUUUCAGAUUGCAACACUGUUGGCAUCUGUAUUUCACGACCUGGGAAUGAGAGUGGUCUGUGAAGUGUGUAGGAAAAACUACAGUGGUUGCAAAAGGCCUUAUUAUGGGCUGAUUUUUGUGUCAGUAGAAACUGAAUUUGAAUCAUUUAGAACUGAAUCUGAAUUGCUCAACUUGAAUAAUUGCAUUAAAAAACUGAAUUUGAAUUGCAUAAUUUGAAUUUGUAUUGUUCAACUUUAAUAACUGUAUUGAAAAACUAAAUCUGAAUAGCAUAAUUUGAAUUUGAAUUUAUUAGUUUGAAACUGAAUUCCAAUAAACUUGAAACUGAAUAUAAUAUUAUGAAUCUGAAUUCACUUGCAACUGAAACUGUAUUUGAGCCUCACUAAAAUUCAACUUUUUAUGUACUUUCACUUUCAGUUCUCUCAAUUCAAAUUCAGUUCUCUAAAUUCAAUUUCAAUCCACAAGAUUCACUUUUAAGGUCACAGACGGGUCAAGGUCGUUCAGUACACUGUAAAAAAGCCAACUUUUAUUUUUUGGCCUAAAUAAGUAUUUAAAGUAGUUAAGACUAUAAAAUAUAAGUUAUUAACAUUUAACGCAAAAACUUAAGUCAGUCCAGCAAACCAAGUGAUUUGUUGGCAUCAAUACAGUUAAGUGAGUUAGUACCACUUAUAUCUUUGAGUUUCAGAGUUUCGAUUCAGAACAAGGAGUGAAAGUUCAGAUAACUUUUUUGUUUUUUUGUUGGAAAAUGCGGGAAAGCCAACUUUUAGGGUUGAGACUCAUCACUUGCGCUCUGCUGCUCUCCUGUCUGGCUGUCUCCCAUCGGAGCUGGAGUUGACACCACUCAGAUCAGUGAAGAGUUCCAUCGGAUCACCAACAAGAACUUAAUAAACAACUUCAGAGCAGCCAUUAAUCAGCACACAGGUGUUUAACAGACAUCUAACAUCACAGCACCCUUGAAGGUCUUCCCGUGUAUCUCCGUGGCACUCAUGAGAAGCUGUUCAGGAAGUGUCUUGCAACUGAUCCAGAAGCAGACGAAGGGCCUCACUGUGGGCAUCCUGACUGUGUUGGAGGAUGAUGAUAGUUCAGGUCCUGCAAGUGUCAUAAACGUUGCUGUGAUUGUAGAAGAAGCCAUCGUCCUUCAGGAUCUCCCUGACCUGCUGACAGCUUUUGCACACCUUUUUGGGCUGAUCUACGCUUUGAACCUCCAGUACCCAAAAGAACUGAGGUACACUUUUGAAACCAUUCAGAAGGUUUUCAUGGAACUUGGGACAGAUUUCUCUGCAAGGGGGUGUGGUGAGAAGAAGAAGAAGAAGAAGAAGAAGAAGAAGAAGAAGAAGAAGAAGAUAUACUUUAUUGAUCCCCCGCCUUGCUCAAGGGAACCUCGGCAGUGCACAGGAGGUGAAAUUGGCACCUCUCCAGCUACCAGUCCACACUUCAUAUUUUUGUGGUCUGUGGGACUGUCCACCGUUAUCUGUCUCACCUCUGACCAGGAGCUCAGCCUGGGUGGUUAGGGGCUGAGCACUGGUGUUUCACUGAGCUCCUGUACACACAGCUCAUUGACAGAGACACAAUGGAAAGAGUUGACAACGGAGCACUGUGCACGAAACGUUUUCGCAAGUAAAUCACCUGUAUAGCUGCACUUGUCGCUGUCUUUGAUAUGUUGACAGCAGACUAGAUUAUUUUAGGUGCAUAUGUCAUGUCUGUCGUGUCCUAAAGAAUUGCAUCCUCAGUCCCUACUGUAGAAAAAAAACGAGUACCGUCAUGUUUUUAUCGACUUGGUACUUAAAGUAUCAGUUCUUAUGACAUCCCUAGUACUUCAGGUAGAUGAUGAGAUUAAUGGUACUUGCCUGUACAUGUAUGAUCCCUGGUUUAUUUCCAUCACUUCUGCUUACCAGGUAACAAAACAUGUGGCCUUAUCUAAGAUGAUGUUUAGGAGGUAAAGCUGGGUGGCCCAGUUCUUCUUCAUAGUAGUGGUGUCAUUUGCACUGGUCAAUUGAAUGUUUGUUCUUUUGUCUUGAACUGUUGUCUUCUGGGUGCUUUCUGUGGCUAAGCAGUGAGUGACUCAACAGAAAGCUCCACAUUUUCCAUAAAACCUCUUCACAACCCUUUCAGUACAAAACUCCAAUAUUUAGAGGAGGACCUGCAUGUUUGAGCUAGUUGGGGUGCCUGAUCUGGAGACAACAAGAUGUAAUCAGAUUCUAACAGAGAAGGCAUGUGAGUGACUACUUAAAUCUUUACUUCUUUCUGGUGGCCCAAGCCAUGAAUCUUUUUGACCACUCAUGCAUGAAAGUCUCACAGGAUCAAAUUCAAAGCCUAGCUAGGUUUUUGUUGGAUUGUCUAACAGCAUCUAAAAUCCCCUCCCCCUAAACCUUUUCAAUAGUGGAAUCUCCAGGGGCUGCAUCUGACAAUUUUAGCAACUUUAGUAACAGACAAUCCAACAAUCAUGGCCACUUUAAGUAGUGAUUGAUCAGGUGUUUUGAGGUGUAAAAGCAGGCAGCAGAGAAUAAUAAUAAUAAUCAUCAAUAUAUGUAAUAAUUGGUGCAUUUGGUUGUACUUACCGAUAAUUAUUACUAAAUAUCAUCAUAAUUUAAAUGCUAAUUUAAUGAAUCACUUAAUGAUUUGGUUUUAUAAAUUUAUCAGUUAAGUAAUGCAUUAUAAUUAACCACUAUAACUAUUCUAGUGACACACUGGAGUCUCCAUAAUAAACUGAUUCAUACCCAUUUCCUACAAGCAUCCCAGACAAACCCAUCACUUCAGCAGACUGUUAAUUCCCAUGUCUUUUACAAGCCUGCCAGAUAAGUAAAAUGUUUACCUACAUUAGUGCUCUAUUAGGCAAAGUUGUUACACUUUAACUAUGUAAAAUGUAAGCAUUUUUUAAGAGCCUUAUACUCUACCGGGCAUUUCAUCUGAAGAAUAUCUUGUGACUUUUCAUCCAGGCAGACUUGUGUUUGUGGAAGGAAGUUUGAACCUAGUUUGUCAAAUUAUCUAUUUUGCUUCAAAGGAGGUCCAAAGGUUAGUAGGCCCAGCUCAAACAGCAGCAGCACAUAUCUUAUUGGAUAAUUAACACUCAGACUGGACAGCAGAAAAGAGCAGGUACACCUACAGUACAUAGAUACACAAUGCACUGUAUGCAGACACAUCAGGUACCCUUACAUAAAUACAGAUGUAUAUAUCAGACGCUUUACAUUUAUUUAAUAUAUAUUAUACAUGUAAUACUAUACAGGCAAUCGCAUGUUAAAAUAUAGAAGAAGUAGGCACAAGAAAAUGAACAAUAUAUUAAGAGACCCAUCAAGAAGAUAGAUUUUUAUUAAUUGAUCUUUGGAGUGAAACAAUACUGCUUUGGUAAAUAUAUAUGUAUAUGCAUCUAACAAAGGUAAUGAAACAUGAUGACAUUAUAAGGGCGGCUGUGGCUCAGAGGCAGAGUGGGUCAUCCACUAAUCAGAAGGUGGUUGGUUUGAUCCCCGGCUAAUGGUUUUAAUAAGGAGUUCCACUCAAGUGUUUAGCAAGUUUUUCACCAAUAUCAUUAUCAAAUUUCGAUAAUAAAAUCCUUGCCAAAAUUCUUGCAGCCCGAUUACUUGAUGUAAUUGGAAAUCUGACCAAACUGUUUUCAUGAAAAAUUUACAUUCAUCUAAUAACACAAGUAAAUUACUCAAUAUCAAGGAAUCAAUGAAAUAUAUAUGUAUAUAUAUAUGUAUAUGUAUGUGUCUUUAUAUAAAUGUAUGUACAGAUACUUCUCCCUGUCUAUUUUUGCUGGGAACGGCAUGCCUGGUGGAAAAAGUAGGCCAGACCUCUCUGAUAACCCCAACCUCCCUCGCUCCUCCUCCUACCCGCUCCCCAAAAAUGAUAGUACUCACAUCACUUGUUUGUUGAUUAUCAGAAUUGUGUAUGUUAUUUUUCUGUAUUUUGUGAGUUAAUGAAAGGAGAAAAAACAGGCUUCUGAAAAAAACACAAUGAAUGCUAAUCUUUUAAGUUAAUAACUGUAUUUGCCUUGUGAGCAGGUUGCAAACUACAUUGGGCCAGAGGGAGCUAGGCUUCUCUUAAUAACAUAUAAACUCCUCUGAAAACAAGAUUUUUGGUCUCUAAAAUAUUAUAACCUCAGUUUGCUUGUCAAAUCCAUAGUGUGAGUCACAGUCAACAUGAACAUACAGUACAGUAUAGACUAAUAGCCUUUUUCAGUAACGGGGCUGUAUAGGGGGGAAACGUUAGGACAAUUCCAAGGGCCCAUGACUGACAGGGGCCCCAGAAAAUAGGUUAAAACUAAUAUACAAUUAUUAAACCAUCAUCAUUGAGUAUGUAUAUUUCAAAUAUAAUAACACAAUUAAUGAUCUCUUUGUUUUUACUUGUUUUUGGCAGUAAAAGUUAAAUAUCCCCACUGAUCAAAAAGUAAACAUCCAUAUUGACCGACCACCCCCCUGUAUCUGCAUGAAAUGGUUUGGUCCUGCCUUAGCACUUAUCAGUGACGGUGUUUAGUUGCAGUAGAUGCGCCAGAACUACAGUGAUUACAAUGUUAACUAGUAAAUCAAAAUCUGGUUUUCAAAAAAGGAAAGAGAGGAAAGACAAAGGAAAGGAUGUCAAUCUGUAACCCAGUUUUUCACCAAGAAAGGAGCCUAUAGUCUGUGAGUGGUAUUAACCUGUUGGCUUAAUGUCCAUAGGGAAAUAAGCUAGCUAGCUACAGACUAGUGUUAGCCUACAUUAAUCACCAUUUAAUCAGUUCAGGGAAACGUUUAGCAAGAUAUUCAUAUUAAAUCAUUGUCCCUGCCCCUUUUAGCAGACUUAACAACAGAUGAGUCAGCAGCACCCCAGUCUCCCCAUCACUGUACCCCUCCCUGUCCCAGUGAAGGUGAGCAACAUUGUGUUCAAUGACAGGUCAGUUAGCAUCUUUGCAGGGAGUCUGUGGGGAUUUCUCUGUCUCUCUUGCUCUUUUUACCAUUACAAAAAAGAAAAUGAAAUAUUUAUUAAUGACAGAAAUUCAAACACAUUAAUAGCAAUUGUUUUCUCACAUAAUGAUCAUUAUGAAAUAAAAUAAAAAAACAACAACCUACUGUCUGUACUGGAUGCUGGACAGUUGGAAACAGUGAGUAGCUUACCUGAGCCUGCAUGUAAGAUACAGACAGUAGUAAAAUAACCCAGUUUGAUACGCUCAUUUAGAUUGAAUAAUGGAAUGACAUCUAUAGAUACAGACUUUAUUAUGAUAAUAAUUAAUAAUAAUAAUUAAUUUCGUUAAGAGAAUUUUCCAUUUUGAAAUUUUACAAUAAAAAUACAUUGAGACUGUAAAAGAUGGCCUUUAGCACAUUUUUAUGGUUGCUUUUAAUCUUGCAUCAAAUAGUGAACUGCAUACUGUAUGCAGACUUGCAUGUAUGUACAAAUCACCAGCAGUAAAUAUUGUGGUAAAUGGACCUGUACUUGUAUAGCACCUUUCUAGUCUUCCAACCACUCAAAGCGCUUUUACACUAUGUGCCACAUUCACCCUUUGACACACAUUCACUCAGUGAUGGCAAAGUCCAUUGAACAGAAACUAACAUUCACAGGGCCGGCCCAAGGCAUAAGCGAACUAAGCAGCUGCUUAGGGCCCUGUGACCACUAGGGGGCCCCCAAGAGCAAUUAACUUAAAAAAUUAAAAAUUAAUUAAUUAUUUUUUUCCAUGUGUGAGUGAUGAUGAUUCACAUAUUAUCAAAUGUACAUUGUUGUACAUAAAAACCCAACAACAAUAUGAUGUUAACAGAGUGUAGUUUCCUACUGCCUCUCUGCUCGAAGUGUCAGAGCUCCGUUAGUAACGUGUGCAGUGAGCAUCCAGAAACUAGGAGCAGGUGAAAGAUGUGGCAAGAAAGGACUUAACGUUACCUUCAGGGGCAGAAAGACGAAGAAGAAGGAAGAGGAAGAGGAGAAAAAACGAUAAAGGAGCACUGUUAAAAUAUUUAGGAGGAGGCACUGACUCAUCCCAGGGGCAAUCCACCUCCUCAGGAGCAGCCAAGGCUGAUGAAUCAGGUCCAUCUCUAUCCUCUGCUCCAUCCACUGUGCCCACUGUCCCUACUGUGUCUUCUGCAACCUCAGCUGUACCUGGUCCUUCAUCUUUGGUCAUGGAGAUUGAUGUGUCUUCUUCAGCAUCCAGUUUGGAGCAGGGAUCAGCAGCUCCGCCAGUUGACCCAGCUGAGUGUCCCUCUUUCCUGUCAGACUCAGAAAGGACUAAACAGCCACAGCAAGAUGUCCAGAAAAGUUGUCCUGAGUUUGCUCAGGAAAAAGAAAGAGAAGAAGCAGAAAAAGAAGAAGGAGAAGAAGAAGAAGAGGUUGGAGAGUCCCCAGAGCAACACUAAUUUCCACACCAUGAAAACUCUACCUCAUUCAGCUGUCAGGUCUUUCAAAGGGAAAAGAUUGCUGUGACCACUUAUUUUUGACUUUUGACGUUUAAUUUCAAUUACAGAAUUUCCAUCUUUGAUAUGGAUGUUCAGUAUAUGUCUGCAUCUUUAAAUUCCUUGGAUAAAUUUUUUUUACAGACCACACAGAAUGCAGCAACAAGGGAAACAUCAAAAAGAAUUUAAAUUCAUAAAAAAAAAAGUUUCAGAUGUUCCUGCCAAAAUAGACACAAAUAAGGCAGAUUCUAAAGACUAUACCUUUGUACUGAGGUGCAAAUCAAAUGCACUCACAGUAUCACUGUAGUACUCUUCGUCUCUUGAAUGGAGAGACACAGAUACAUAAACUGUUUCAUACACCCUGUCAUUGCUGACUGAUCUCACCAGAUAUUGAUGGCAGAAAAGAGACUGGAACACCCUUGUAUUGUCAUACGGAAAUGUAGAAAAAAUGUCUGGUGUUCCAAUAUAUUAUUGUUGUUCGAAAGCAAACCAGUCACCCCAAACCACUCACCCCUCAACAAAGGCAUACACACGGAUCUUUCUCAGGUUGGCUUAAAGCCAUUAAAAAAAAAGCUUGCUAAGGUUGUAAUCAUUGGCUCAGAUAUAACUUUAGACCAUAGAUUUGAGUCUCCAUACAUUCACAUUUACAAAAAGACCAUCUUCCUGUGUUUUCUCUCUCUGAUAAUAGUCAGCGAAGAAACAGCACCUAAUGCAAAGGUUCAUCAUGGAAUGAACCUGCAGUCUUUUGACAUUCUGGGAAAUAUGUUUGAAUUGUCAAUGCAAAUUAAUCUCUUGUAAAGAUGGCCAAUAUGCUGCCAUAAUCUUAAUCAAACAUUUGUUAAAGAUUUUUAAGUCACAAUACAAUUUAAUCAACUAAGAAUCUUUUACAUUUUAUUUGUUCUCAGUUUUUAAUUAGCAGAAAGCAAUAUAUGAAUAAUUCAGGUAGCAGUUUCUCAAUUUAUCAAUCAUCAUUUUAGGUGUAAAAUGACAAACAUUACCAGGGGUAGGCUAUAUUAGCUGUAGCUAAUUUACAAGUAUUAUGUAAGUAACUUGCCUGAAAUGAGCUGUGCCUUUCCACAGCUCAUGUCUGUACUUAGCCAAAGAUCGUUUGUCAGAGACACCACUCUCUAACACCACUGUAUAAACAGUAGAGAGUCUUUUUGCAAUUUAACGUGACAAGAGGGUGGCACUUCUCUAGUGAUUGCUGUGUAUUAGCUUCAGUCUAUGGAAUCUUCUACUUAAAAUCUCAUUAAUUUAUCCUGAUAUCCAAAAUAAUGCUGAUUCAUUUUCAAAUUAUAGCUGAUCCUGGGUGUGCAAAUUAAUUUUGGAGUUUAGAGUAGAAAUAGAGUUCCUAACUGCAGAUAACAAAAACUGAAUAUUAGACUCAAUAUUUAAGCGAUUGCAUGUAUCUCAAUCUCAGUCGAAAGUAUUACCUUUCCUGUGUACAUUCAAUUACUCCUAAAUAAAAUCAAUCAUUAUGAUGGUUAACCUUGAUCGAUUUGAAAGUGAACGACAAAUAAUUGAUUGAAAUUGAUCGAAAUUAGUUGUGCACAUCCUUACCCUGAACUUUAUGAGACUGUAUUGUAUCUCUUCUACCUCAAACCCUUCAUCAAAGAAGCAUAUUAUUAUUUUUAUUAUUAUUAUGCCCCCAACCUGCUUUUAUUUUUAAAGAUACUUUUGGAAAAGGCAAUCAAAAUUGCAAUCAUUAUUAUCCUCUUUACUUCAUUGUUAAAACAGACAAACAAAAAUUAUAACAAGUCUUGUCCAGCAGUGCCUCAAUUAUGUAUUUCAAGCUUUAAUUUUGAUACAUCUAAGGUCACAACUUGACCCAGGAUGCUUGAUAGACUAGAACACUGGAGCACCACAUAAAUGCUUUGCUCUCUCUGUUGUUGCAAUACUGACACACCUCUUUUAUUUUUAUAGAAAAUGAUAGAACCUCUUUACAUCUUGCCAUUAGUUCACUAUCAAACUGUUGCAUCAGACUACUGUAUACCAUUUGUUCAGAUUAAUAUUAACAAGUGCAUGUAGCUUCAAUUGUUCUUUGCGUAUUAUAGCUUUAAAAUCUUGAUUCCAUCAUUGAUGUAAUGCUGCAAGAAAUCCACUUGGUCUGCCUUACAAAAAAAACCUCAAGAACAAAAACCACAAGAACUAACCACACAUUACCUCGUGACACACUUAAUACCUGGAUUUAGUAGCAGCAUGACAAUGGAUGACUCAUCUCACACUGUAACUUCAGGGAGCCUUACGUUUAAGGAAACCUGAUAUUAUGCAAUCUUCUUCUAAUUUCAAACUACCUCUGACUCAGCACGACCAGCUUGUGAACACUAUUGCUCAGUACACACAAACUAAUGCCCAGGAAGGCAGCGUGCAUUCAGAUAUUUUAUAAUGUACUGUAUUUUAAAGAGAGGUCAUGCUGGUAGUCUUAUCAUGGGUUUUUGUGUCCCAACUGUUUUGUUUGAUUUAGUCAGGUAAAUCCUACAUAAUCCGAAAAGGAGAAAACGCCAGAUAUAUGACAGGGCCAUGUGCAUCAACAUUAAAGGAAAGUAGCCUUUUUCCUACUCACUUGUGGCCAUCUUUCCUGUUGGCUAGACAGGGCUUUUACAAAGUUACAAGGAAUGCACAGACACGAAAUCUUAAUGAAAAUGGUCCAUGCAGAUCAAAUAACGUUACAAUAUUUUGACUAAAAUACCUUAAUUGUUCAGUGCUUGACCGGAGGUCUGACUGUGUAAUCCUCCUUAUUGAACUAAAAAAGAGUCACAGCAGUCACUUUGGGUACAAACCUCUAUGAUACAUUUCGGAUUUAUUCCUACAUAAGGUGAUAAGAGUUCCAUGUAGAGAUAUUGAUCCAAGGACAAAAGUUAUCCAGCUUGUCCAUGCUGUGAUAUUUGUUUAUUUAUUUUGAGAAAAUAACAAAAAAGGUCCGCCUUUUGACACGUUACCUUGUUAGUUUAAUACUUAUUGGCUAAAAAUGUGUGUCAAAAUAAGUAAUUUCAUUGUAACAUUCAUUUCGUGUAGUGACCUAUCAACACAUAGCUAAUUUAAAUAUUCAGAUGAGCCAUGUGUUGAUUCGCCACAACAUGAUACCAGGCUGUCAAUCUAGCUCUCAGCUACAGAGAAUGUAGCAUCAGCAUUAUGGUAAUUGCGGAGAAACAGCGUAUUCACUUCCGGUUUUCAAAAUAAAGGUAUUAAGAACAGUAAGCUAUAAUUCGAACCUACAUUUAAAAUAAAAUAUGUUACAUUAUACAAGUGUUUCAUGCUACCAUGAUGAAUAAAAAACAUACUUAAUAUCAAGCAUUUUUACUGCACCAAUUUGGAGAAAUUCAACAAUAAAAGUCCAACAACGAUGUUAGCUAACAUUGUUCUCUGUAGCUGAGAGCUUGAUUGACAGCCUGGUGGUAGCAACUGCAUGAGCCUGUGUUGUGGCAAAUCAACACAUGGCUCAUUUGAAUAUUUAAAUUAGCCAUGUGUUGAUAAGUCACAACACCAAAAUGUAACCAAUGAAAUUACUUAUUUUGACACACAUUUUUAGCCAAUAAGUAUUAAAGGUAAUGUGUCAAAAGGCGGACCUUUUUUUUUAUUUUCUCAAAAGGAGGACAAAUGAGUGUCGGGCUUGAGGCUGCGCCUGUAUCUCUUGAGUAGGAGAUACCUUUUGUUGUUAAAAAGUUUCCUUUAAUUGAAGACACACUCUAAAUCAUUUAUCAUCCAACAUUUGCAAUUUCCAUAUCCAUGUCCAUAUGUUGUAAUGCUGAAAGUAAUGUCCUUUUUUUAAUUUUAGCUUUGGUUGGUUCAAUACAAAAUAUCUAGAUAUAUUUUAAAAAACAAAAUGCAGUUGUUUUUAUGUAAAUUGUUUAAUUUUAUUAGAAAACAUGUAAAAAAUAUUAUAUAGAGUAUGUUACCCUUUUAAGCAAUAUGCAAAAAAGUUUCAACACAUAUCCAAGUGAAGUUAUUGUUAUGAUGCAGUCUCUAGAGUUUGUCUCCUCCAACACUCCACACACUUGGCACUGACUUCCCUGACAUUUUCUUUCUUUAGAGAUUCUUUGAAAAAGCCUAGGUUCAGUAGUUUUUAUACUUAAAACACAAAAACAGCUAACUUAUUAAAUACUGUUUUUCUACUCUACCUUAAUGUUAAUUUGUAUCUAAAUAUUGUAAUGCAACAUUUUACAUUAUCUGCAAACUUAUUUCUGAAAAACUGAUUUAUUUUGUGAUUUACACAACUGUUUAAUAAGGAUCAAAUGUUUUUAUGACACUACAUGAUGUAACAACAGAUGUUUUUUGUUUUGAAUAGCUAGAGUUGUUUUAUUUACAAUCUAUAUAUGUUCAAUACCUCAAACAGACCGAUAAAAAUGGACUAAUCAAUUCACCUACCUCCAGUCAUUAAAAGGAAUGACUUGGCCAGUGUACUUUGAUGUAUGAUAUGAUCUAUAUCAGGACUGCAGAAGAUCCUUACUUAAAGUAUUGUAUCAGAUGAGUCAAGCUUACAAUCUCAGUACAUUUGGACUCUCACCUUCAAAGUGACCUUCAGGGUUUGAUACAUAUAUUUGGAUUUUGUAUAUUGUAUUCAUGAAUAUGUUUUCUUGUUUUUAAUUAGUGCAUAUCUUGAUUAGCUGUUUUGUGUAGGUCACAACGUGAUUUUCUUUUCUUAUGAUAUGGCUAAACCAGAUCUAUAGGGAAUUGCCUCUUAUCUUCUUAUUUUCACCUCAUAACAUGGCAACCUUUGAAGUUGAAUUUUUAACUGGGCCAGAAGAAGAGCCUCAGAAGAGCUACAUUGAUCUUGUCAGCCUGCCUUUGCCAGCAACGACAGUGGCAACUUAACAGAGGCUGUAGUAAACUCUCAUUAAGUAAUAAUCUGCACAGUGUUUUGGAUCUUAAAGGUGUCUUUCAAACUGAACUAAAAAUGGUUUGUGCAGUCUCUGUUUAUUCAUCACAGCCAGGGUAACAACUUUAUGGAUGUUACCUGUAACUGGUAACUAGCUAGAAACAUACUAAUUUCACAAGUAAUUAUUAAGGAUAAUAUUUUUCCAGGCACAAGUACUGAGGUUUAGUGGCUAUGGACAAAUAUUUGGAACACACUGCAGGAGUACACAAAAAGCAGUGAAUGCAGGUGUUGACACAAAUUAAAUGCGGCUGUCAUCUAUUGCCUCUAAGCAUGAAUUGUUCUGUUUUUGUUGAAACAUUUUCACUUGUCAAGGCAUGUUUUUGACUCAGAUUGCACCACACAGGGCAAAUUUAGGCUUGUCUUAGGCUUGUCUGUGUUGACUCACAAAAUUUGCUACACAUUCAGUUUGAACACAGCUUAGUAAUACCAGCAACUUACUGCUCCCACAACAAUAGGCCUUUUUCAUUUUAACAUGUCAAAGUAGUACAUAGUGGGAAAAUCACAGGUCUAAAUAAUACAAUUAAUCAGGAAUUCCAUUUAGCUGCUUCAGUUUCAGUAAUGCCCAUGCUUUACCUUCUAUAAGUCAAAAAGUAUGCUGUGAAAAAGCCUACUAUAUGUGCUAAUUUAUUUCACAGCAUGUCUGAAAAGAAGAUAUAGAAACAGCAUUAAAGUUAUCAGAAGGUAUCAUUUUGACAAAACAAGGAUAUCUGUUUCUAGUCUUUGUGCUAGGCUUAAACUGGCUAAAUCUCUAUUUACUGGACAAACAGAGAAAAAGCAUAUCUCACUAUACAAACAUCAGAUAAGUGUAUUUAAGUGUAUGAUGUUCUUCUGGUAAUUUUAGUAACUGGUACCCCACUUUCAAAAAGUAUCGCAAUGGUAAUUUUUUUGUCAUUGUUGUGGUCUAAAUAUGGUUUAAAAAACUGAAUUUGAAUAAACAUACACAUACACUUCUCCACCAGCAAUGACAAGUGAGUGACAGAUGUCCGUUGCCUUCAAUAAUUAACAUAUCCAGACACUGUGCAGGUAAUGCCAUUUCUAAUAAUCCAAACAGAGAAACUCACAAGCUGAUAGCUGAUUUGACAGCUACCUAAGAAAUAAUGUAUAAAAUGUGUGCACCUAUUAAGGCUGGAUGAUCAGUAGCUUUGAACGAAUCACUCUGAAACAGAUAGGCUUUAUCAUUUGAAGGUUCAUUAAACACCACACCAUUCUUCAGCCAGACAGACACCAUGUAGACCUGGUGUUUACAUGUGAUCUAUAUCAAUCUGGAUAUGCACUUCUACUCAGAUUGCGAUUGAACCCAGACUGUGUAUCCAGAUACAGAUCAUAUGAUAAUACCAGGUGUACAUAAAGUCUUACUGAUCACUGAACUCAACAAGCUCCAAGCCCAUUUUGAAGUUUCUUAUUUCCUUCAGAGAUGUGGACUUGAGUUUAGUUACCUCACUGAUGGGCAGACUAAUUGUUAAAGCCACUGUUGAUGAGCUUUCAGCUCUGGGAGUCUUAAUGAAGUUGAUAUUUUCUUUUCAUGAUUUCAUGUUCUGUUACAAUAAAAUACACAUUACUACCUCCAGAAAGGCCAACUUUUACCUCAUUGUCAAAUACUGUUUAAAAUUCAGGUGUCUGAGAGCAUAUGGAGAACAUCUUUAAAAAUGUUAUAUAUAGUUUAUUUUUGUGGGGGAUGCAUUUUAUUAGACUUUAUUUUCUCUGCCUCAUAGUCAUCAUUAGCUAAGACUGGACAUGUAACCCUUGAAAAGGAAUUUUCCCACCUUAUGCAAUGUUUUGUAGUUAGCUGUGAGAAAGUGAUAUAUCCCAGCUCUCCAUCUGCCUUGCUCCUGUAUUAUUUCAGAUGUUUUCUACAGUAUCUAAUUUUUGUUGCUUUCUCUCAUAGUAUUACUGUCUUUGAGUUCACUACACAUUUUGCUUGUUUGCUAAACAAACUCUUAUGUUCACUUUUUUUCAGCACAUUAAAACAGUAUGCCAUCCAUAA
This is an RNA transcript of Dicentrarchus labrax (European seabass), 23062 nucleotides long. It is a transcript of the gene named high mobility group AT-hook 2, with no coding region annotated. The transcript has 12 exons. The record is from RefSeq and is a predicted model, not a curated record. NCBI's taxonomy places the organism in Eukaryota, Metazoa, Chordata, Actinopteri, Moronidae.